UACGAGUGCCCCAAGCGUUAUCCGGAAUUAUUGGGCGUAAAGGGUGCGUAGGUGGUCCUGUUAGUCUUUUGUUAAAUCCUUCGGCUUAACCGGGGAAAGGCAGGAGAUACGGCAGAACUAGAGGACGUGAGAGGUCUAUGGAACUCAUGGUGUAGGGGUGAAAUCCGUUGAUAUCAUGGGGAACACCAAAAGCGAAGGCAAUAGACUGGCGCGUUCCUGACACUCAAGCACGAAAGCGUGGGUAGCGAACGGG
RNAcentral lists this ribosomal RNA (253 nucleotides) under uncultured bacterium. RNAcentral's name for it is "partial 16S ribosomal RNA". It matches the Rfam family "Bacterial small subunit ribosomal RNA", at positions 524 to 776 of the family's 1533-position model. The record is from RNAcentral.